Molecule: long non-coding RNA, 346 nt
Organism: Patella vulgata (common limpet)
Lineage: Eukaryota; Metazoa; Mollusca; Gastropoda; Patellidae
Exons: 3
Source: RefSeq, a predicted model, not a curated record
GUGGCUGUCUGUGAACCUAAUCCUUGUGAAAAUGGUGGUACCUGUUCACCAACUGACAACAGUUACAGCUGUAAUUGUCCUGCUGGAUAUUUGGGUAAACUCUGUGACGUUAAUACCUGUGAUGUACACAACCCCUGUUUAAAUGGUACGUGUUAUAUAUCAGAACGUGGUGUGAGUUGUAGCUGUCCUCCUAACUUUCCAGGAAUCUAUUGCGAGACGAUUGAUUGUAAUUUUGAUGAGAGUUACUGUGCAUGGAAACAGUCGUCCGAUGAUAUUUUUGAUUGGAUAAGAAACAGCGGCAGAACACAUUCAGGUGGCACAGGACCACAAAAUGACCAUACAGGCG